This 456-nucleotide ribosomal RNA is filed under the name Metarhizium anisopliae. RNAcentral describes it as "eukaryotic LSU rRNA". The stretch from base 122 to 275 matches the Rfam family "5.8S ribosomal RNA". Lineage: Eukaryota; Fungi; Ascomycota; Sordariomycetes; Hypocreales; Clavicipitaceae. The record is from RNAcentral.
UCCACCCCUGUGAUUAUACCUUUAAUUGUUGCUUCGGCGGGACUUCGCGCCCGCCGGGGACCCAAACCUUCUGAAUUUUUUAAUAAGUAUCUUCUGAGUGGUUAAAAAAAAAAUGAAUCAAAACUUUCAACAACGGAUCUCUUGGUUCUGGCAUCGAUGAAAAACGCAGCGAAAUGCGAUAAGUAAUGUGAAUUGCAAAAUUCAGUGAAUCAUCGAAUCUUUGAACGCACAUUGCGCCCGUCAGUAUUCUGGCGGGCAUGCCUGUUCGAGCGUCAUUACGCCCCUCAAGUCCCCUGUGGACUUGGUGUUGGGGAUCGGCGAGGCUGGUUUUCCAGCACAGCCGUCCCUUAAAUUAAUUGGCGGUCUCGCCGUGGCCCUCCUCUGCGCAGUAGUAAAGCACUCGCAACAGGAGCCCGGCGCGGUCCACUGCCGUAAAACCCCCCAACUUCUCGGAGU